Molecule: ribosomal RNA, 490 nt
Filed under: uncultured bacterium
Lineage: Bacteria
Description: partial 16S ribosomal RNA
Rfam family: Bacterial small subunit ribosomal RNA
Source: RNAcentral
AGUGAACGCUGGCGGCAGGCCUAACACAUGCAAGUCGAACGGCAGCACAAGAGAGCUUGCUCUCUGGGUGGCGAGUGGCGGACGGGUGAGGAAUGCAUCGGAAUCUGCCCAUUUGUGGGGGAUAACCUCGGGAAACCGGGACUAAUACCGCAUACGACCUACGGGUGAAAGGAGGGGAUCUUCGGACCUUGCGCAGAUGGAUGAGCCGAUGCCGGAUUAGCUAGUUGGAGGGGUAAAGGCCCACCAAGGCGACGAUCCGUAGCUGGUCUGAGAGGAUGAUCAGCCACACUGGGACUGAGACACGGCCCAGACUCCUACGGGAGGCAGCAGUGGGGAAUAUUGGACAAUGGGCGCAAGCCUGAUCCAGCCAUGCCGCGUGUGUGAAGAAGGCCUUCGGGUUGUAAAGCACUUUUGUUGGGAAAGAAAAGCAGCCGGUUAAUACCCGGUUGUCAUGACGGUACCCAAAGAAUAAGCACCGGCUAACUUCGUG